Molecule: ribosomal RNA, 253 nt
Filed under: uncultured bacterium
Lineage: Bacteria
Description: partial 16S ribosomal RNA
Rfam family: Bacterial small subunit ribosomal RNA
Source: RNAcentral
UACGUAGGGUGCAAGCGUUGUUCGGAAUUAUUGGGCGUAAAGCGCGUGUAGGUGGUUAUUUAAGUCGAUUGUAAAAGCCCUAGGCUCAACCAAGGAAGUGCAUUCGAAACUAGAUAACUAGAGGAUGGCAGAGGAAGGUGGAAUUCCAAGUGUAGAGGUGAAAUUCGUAGAUAUUUGGAGGAAUACCGGCGGCGAAGGCGGCCUUCUGGACCAUUCCUGACACUGAGACGCGAAAGCGUGGGGAGCAAACAGG